Molecule: long non-coding RNA, 804 nt
Organism: Patella vulgata (common limpet)
Lineage: Eukaryota; Metazoa; Mollusca; Gastropoda; Patellidae
Exons: 5
Source: RefSeq, a predicted model, not a curated record
GCAGGACUAUUUAUAUCUAGUAUCGUGGUUAUACUUUGUGUAAUAGGUGUUCCUGGUGGAAAGUGUAUACCCCUUGAAACCUUUGACAGAGCUUGUGGGACAGAGCUAAACGUUUAUGAUUCUAUCCGUCUAUUUGGUACAGAAUUUACUCGGAACUGCAGCGUGAUCAUAAACACGGAAGCAAAUACAACACUUCGUAUAUCAUAUGAUAAUUUUUUUGGAUACGGAAAAUUUGAUCUCAAUUGCACAGAGGCGUCUGUAAACCUUUACUUGAAUGGUUCAGCAACAGGGGAUGUUACAGAACUGUGUGGUGAAAAACAAUCUCCUCUUGACGAAUAUCUUACGAUUGGUAAUACAGCUGUUAUAGAAAUUCAACUUAAUGGCAACGAAAACGUAACCGGAUAUGUUCGGCUGAGAAUCACAAAAAUACGAGAAAAUUCUACAUGUGAAACUGGGGAACUUAAAUGCGGCAACGGUCGAUGCAUCAACACCACUUUAUUAUGCAAUCACUAUGAUGACUGUGGGGAUUGGACAGACGAACAUUGUGGUGGUAGUGCCCCCUAUAGUUCCUGCAAUGGUUCGACAGAAUUCACAUGUAAUAACAAACUAUGUGUAAGCAAAAAUUUAACAUGUAAUGGCCACGAUGACUGCUAUGAUAAUUCAGAUGAGAACGAUUAUAAAUGCUGCACUGGUGAUUGGUUCCAGUGCAAAAAUUCGCCAUAUUUUGGAAGACACCAUGAUUGUAUUCCGAUCGUUGAAAGAUGUAAUGGUCAGAAUGAUUGCUCUGAUAACUCAGACGAACAC